RNAcentral lists this ribosomal RNA (294 nucleotides) under uncultured microorganism. RNAcentral's name for it is "partial 16S ribosomal RNA". It matches the Rfam family "Bacterial small subunit ribosomal RNA", at positions 505 to 796 of the family's 1533-position model. The record is from RNAcentral.
GUGCCAGCAGCCGCGGUAAUACGAAGGGUGCAAGCGUUAAUCGGAAUUACUGGGCGUAAAGCGCGCGUAGGUGGUUCGUUAAGUUGGAUGUGAAAGCCCCGGGCUCAACCUGGGAACUGCAUCCAAAACUGGCGAGCUAGAGUACGGUAGAGGGUGGUGGAAUUUCCUGUGUAGCGGUGAAAUGCGUAGAUAUAGGAAGGAACACCAGUGGCGAANGCGAUCACCUGGACUGAUACUGACCCUGAGGUGCGAUAGUCGUGGGAGCAAUCAGGUAUUAGCAUCCGCUGGUACUCC